Molecule: long non-coding RNA, 227 nt
Filed under: Gallus gallus (chicken)
Lineage: Eukaryota; Metazoa; Chordata; Aves; Galliformes; Phasianidae
Source: RNAcentral
GGGGGUCGCGGCUCCCCCAAAAUGAGGCGGGUGGGGCUCAGUGCCCCCCCCAGGGCCUGCAGUAAUGGGGGGGGGUGCAGAUCCCGAUGGAGCAGCGCCACCACUCGCCCCGCCCCCAUGGCGGCCCUCAGUUUCCUCCCAGCCACGUGGGGGCGCUCUCGCAGCAGGGCGGCGCUCAGGGAAUCCAACACUACCAUCGAGUUGGGCCCGGCCCCAUUGCAGCCCCA